RNAcentral lists this ribosomal RNA (207 nucleotides) under uncultured Sedimentibacter sp. RNAcentral describes it as "partial 16S ribosomal RNA". It matches the Rfam family "Bacterial small subunit ribosomal RNA", at positions 568 to 775 of the family's 1533-position model. Lineage: Bacteria; Bacillati; Bacillota; Tissierellia. The record is from RNAcentral.
UGAGUAGGCGGUAAUAUGUGUCAGAUGUAAAAGGCUAUGGCUUAACCAUAGUUGGCAUUUGAAACUGUAUUACUUGAGUGCAGGAGAGGUAAGUGGAAUUCCUAGUGUAGCGGUGAAAUGCGUAGAUAUUAGGAGGAACACCAGUGGCGAAGGCGACUUACUGGACUGUAACUGACGCUGAGUCACGAAAGCGUGGGUAGCAAACAG